RNAcentral lists this transfer RNA (72 nucleotides) under Lasiosphaeris hirsuta. It matches the Rfam family "tRNA". From Rfam's summary of the family: Transfer RNA (tRNA) molecules are approximately 80 nucleotides in length. Their secondary structure includes four short double-helical elements and three loops (D, anti-codon, and T loops). The record is from Rfam by way of RNAcentral. Lineage: Eukaryota; Fungi; Ascomycota; Sordariomycetes; Sordariales; Lasiosphaeriaceae.
AGCUGCGUGGCGCAGUGGAAGCGCGCCGGGCUCAUAACCCGGAGGCCGUUGGAUCGAAACCAACCGCAGCUA